Molecule: ribosomal RNA, 494 nt
Filed under: uncultured bacterium
Lineage: Bacteria
Description: partial 16S ribosomal RNA
Rfam family: Bacterial small subunit ribosomal RNA
Source: RNAcentral
GACGAACGCUGGCGGCGCGCUUAACACAUGCAAGUCGAACGGAAAGGCCUGCUUUCCCUUGUGGAUUGCGGGUACUCGAGUGGCGAACGGGUGAGUAACACGUGAGUGAUCUGCCCCCAACUUGGGUAUAAGCCUGGGAAACUGGGUCUAAUUCCCGAUAGGACUGCAGGGUGGUGCCUGUGGUGGAACACGAUUUUCUAGUGGUUGGGGAUGAGCUCGCGGCCUAUCAGCUUGUUGGUGGGGUAAUGGCCUACCAAGGCGGCGACGGGUAGCCGGCCUGGGAGGGUGGACGGGCACAUUGGGACUGAGAUACGGCCCAGACUCCGACGGGAGGCAGCAGUGGGGAAUAUUGCACAAUGGGCGGAAGCCUGAUGCAGCGACGCCGCGUGGGGGAUGACGGCCUUCGGGUUGUAAACUCCUUUCGACCGCGAGGAAGCCACCUGGUUGGAAGGGUGGUGACGGUAGUGGUAGAAGAAGCACCGGCUAACUACGUG